UACGAAGGGUGCAAACGUUGCUCGGAAUCAUUGGGCGUAAAGCGCACGUAGGCGGCUUCGCAAGUCGGAUGUGAAAUCCCUCGGCUCAACCAAGGACGUGCAUCCGAAACUGCGAAGCUUGAGUACAGAAGAGGAUCGCGGAAUUCCCGGUGUAGAGGUGAAAUUCGUAGAUAUCGGGAGGAACACCAGUGGCGAAGGCGGCGAUCUGGGCUGAUACUGACGCUGAGGUGCGAAAGCGUGGGGAGCAAGCAGG
Molecule: ribosomal RNA, 253 nt
Filed under: uncultured bacterium
Lineage: Bacteria
Description: partial 16S ribosomal RNA
Rfam family: Bacterial small subunit ribosomal RNA
Source: RNAcentral